UACGAGUGCCCCAAGCGUUAUCCGGAAUUAUUGGGCGUAAAGGGUGUGUAGGCGGUUGUGUUAGUCUUUUGUUAAAUUCUUCGGCUUAACCGGGGGCAUGCAGAAGAAACGGCACAACUAGAGGAUGCGAGAGGUGAAUGGAACUCAUGGAGUAGGGGUGAAAUCCGUUGAUAUCAUGGGGAACACCAAAUGCGAAGGCAAUUCACUGGCGCACUACUGACGCUGAGACACGAAAGCGUAGGUAGCGAAUGGG
Molecule: ribosomal RNA, 253 nt
Filed under: uncultured bacterium
Lineage: Bacteria
Description: partial 16S ribosomal RNA
Rfam family: Bacterial small subunit ribosomal RNA
Source: RNAcentral